RNAcentral lists this ribosomal RNA (490 nucleotides) under uncultured bacterium. RNAcentral's name for it is "partial 16S ribosomal RNA". It matches the Rfam family "Bacterial small subunit ribosomal RNA", at positions 28 to 507 of the family's 1533-position model. The record is from RNAcentral.
GAUGAACGCUAGCGGCAGGCCUAAUACAUGCAAGUCGAACGGGAUCCAGAUCAAAGCUUGCUUUGGUCUGGUGAGAGUGGCGCACGGGUGCGUAACGCGUGAGCAACCUACCCUUGUCAGGGGGAUAGCCCGGCGAAAGUCGGAUUAAUACCGCAUGACAUCAUUGAGAGGCAUCUUUCGAUGAUCAAAGAUUUAUCGGACAAGGAUGGGCUCGCGUGGCAUUAGCUAGUUGGUAAGGUAACGGCUUACCAAGGCUGCGAUGUCUAGGGGCUCUGAGAGGAGAAUCCCCCACACUGGUACUGAGACACGGACCAGACUCCUACGGGAGGCAGCAGUAAGGAAUAUUGGUCAAUGGACGGAAGUCUGAACCAGCCAUGCCGCGUGCAGGAGGACGGCCCUAUGGGUUGUAAACUGCUUUUAUACGGGAACAAACGUCGGUACGUGUACCGGUCUGAGUGUACCGUAAGAAUAAGGAUCGGCUAACUCCGUG